GGCCUUCGUUGCAGUAUAUGUUAACACACAAGCCAGUGAGGCCAAACUCCCAGCUUUGCAACAGAGGUUUUGCCCACACUGCCCUACAUCAUAGUUGUUGCCUUGCAUACCCUUUUUUAGGGUCCUAGUCAGGGUACAUCUCUCACGGCCACUACGUUCGGUGGCUACUUUCCCUUGAGUCAAGUCAUAGGUAGAGCUUCUCUCUGCCGUUUGGUAACUAGCAGGGCCUCACCUAUCACGGGGCAGAUUAAUU
This is a non-coding RNA of Pelobates cultripes (western spadefoot toad), 253 nucleotides long. The record is from the annotation of a GenBank genome assembly. NCBI's taxonomy places the organism in Eukaryota, Metazoa, Chordata, Amphibia, Anura, Pelobatidae.